GACGAACGCUGGCGGCGUGCCUAACACAUGCAAGUCGAGCGGAGUUUAUUAAGGAAGUCUUAGGACGGAAAGAAUAAACUUAGCGGCGGACGGGUGAGUAACACGUGGGUAACCUGCCCAUAAGAGGGGGAUAACAUCCGGAAACGGGUGCUAAUACCGCAUAGUUUUCUUGAUCGCAUGAUCGAGAAGGAAAGACGGCCUUUGUGCUGUCGCUUAUGGAUGGACCCGNGGCGUAUUAGUUAGUUGGUGAGGUAACGGCUCACCAAGACGAUGAUACGUAGCCGACCUG
This 289-nucleotide ribosomal RNA is filed under the name uncultured bacterium. Its description in RNAcentral is "partial 16S ribosomal RNA". It matches the Rfam family "Bacterial small subunit ribosomal RNA", at positions 28 to 294 of the family's 1533-position model. The record is from RNAcentral.